UACGUAGGGGGCAAGCGUUAUCCGGAUUUACUGGGUGUAAAGGGAGCGUAGACGGUGAUGCAAGUCAGAAGUGAAAGCCCGCGGCUCAACUGCGGGACUGCUUUUGAAACUGUAUAACUAGAGUGCAGGAGAGGUAAGCGGAAUUCCUAGUGUAGCGGUGAAAUGCGUAGAUAUUAGGAGGAACACCAGUGGCGAAGGCGGCUUACUGGACUGUAACUGACGUUGAGGCUCGAAAGCGUGGGGAGCAAACAGG
RNAcentral lists this ribosomal RNA (253 nucleotides) under uncultured bacterium. Its description in RNAcentral is "partial 16S ribosomal RNA". It matches the Rfam family "Bacterial small subunit ribosomal RNA", at positions 524 to 776 of the family's 1533-position model. The record is from RNAcentral.